UGGGUGUUAAGCGAUUCCAAAGCACUGCAUCUCAUUACUUACUCAGCUGCACCGCUAUCCUUAUCUAGACCUAACUGAGGAAACUCUUGACAAAACUGAAGCCAUGCCCAGCAUUCCGUUAGUGACCGAGCUCGGGGCGAGGGCGGGUGAGUUUCAGCACAUCUUGAACAUGUCCAAAAUUCCAGCCCAAGUGGAGCAAAAGCUCCGUCCUGCGAUGGAUCCUGGUGAGCUCUUCACUUAUCAGGAUUCGCGCAUUUUUGUGCGCGCUCGCCCGAUCGUCGCACAUGAUAUGGAAGAUCCAAACAAUCAGAGCAUUGUUCAGAAAGUCGAUGAAAACAGAGAUCUCGUCGUGAUGACGCCAAAAAUAUCACUUUCUGGCGAGUGUACGAUUGAUCCGUGCGUUGUCACUCUUGACGGCGUGUUCGUGGGAGCCCGUGACGAUACAGAGCGAGUUUACCUAGAGUCAUGCGCCCCAUUGGUCUCUCUCUCCGUUAACGGCGCAUCUACGUGCGUGCUCUGUUACGGGCAGACAGGAAGCGGAAAAACCUAUACAACCUCUGGUAUUUUUCGCCUUGUCGCCCUGGAUCUCGCGCCUGCUUUCGCCACUCAUGAUAUCCUUCUCACUGUUCUUGAAAUACAAGCACUCAAGAACAUCGACCUGCUCACUGGCACGGAUGUUCAGGUUGUGGAGGAUGUCUCAGGUGAGCUUAAGCUCCUGGGGACAGAGGCCUUUGAGUGCUCGAGUGCCGAAAUGCUUCUCGCCGCUUUUGAGGAAGCUGCCUCACAGCGAACAACGCGGUCAACAGAGAGGAACGAAACGUCUUCGCGUUCUCACAUGAUCGCUCGAAUCUCCAUUGUUUCGAAGGAGACGAAGUGGGCGAAGCCUGGCGAUUUAUUCAUCGUGGAUCUUGCUGGUAGUGAAAACACCGCCGACAGCGCAACUCAUGACAAAACUCGCCAAGCAGAGACCAAAUUCAUCAACACCUCCCUCAUGACUCUUAAGGAUUGCAUUCGGUCCCGCGCUCUUGCGUCUUCGAGUACGCAGCACCUGCACAUCCCGUAUAGGCGCUCGCCACUUACGCUUCUUUUGCGCGACUGCUUUGAGAUCGCCGUGCGUCGCCCAACGAAGACAGUUAUGAUCGCCUGUGUCUCGCCACUGCUUCGAGAUUCACGGCAUACUAUUAACACACUGCGGUACGCAUCGAUGCUUGCUGUGACGCCACCAUCCAAAGUCCUCGCACCCGAUCCGAACGACCCAAACAACUACACGCGCGAGCAGGCCCUCGACUUUCUUGUAAAAGUGUCGCAUGGAAACAUCACUGAGCCGGAGUACAUUUUACCGGAGGGUGACGGGCGGACUCUCGUGCACAUUCCAGAGGCGGAAUUCAUCCGUCGCAUCGUGGAGAGCCAUCCGCACAUACCCGAGAAAAAGGCAAAACUUAUUUAUACUGCCGUGUGGAAGCGUGUUGUCGACGCGCGCACCAAAGGUCGAAAGCAGAUGGUCGACGCAAAGCGGCAUAUUAAAGCACCACGCUGCGCUAUGUAGCACAUUUUGGCUGCUCAUCUCUCACGUUUCGCGAUUCUGGUAUGGACACGUGUCUCGUACAAUCUUUUUCCCCUUUUCAAUUUGUAUGCGGAAGAUGCUUAGAUGAUUAUAAAGUACUAGAGCGCGUUUUCUACUGGCUGUCUUCCUCUCUUUUUCUUUUGGCGUCUUAGCGUGCCAGAACCGGUGCAAGAGGGCGUAUUUUUUUGUCUGUCAUUGUCUGUCCAGUUUUUAACUGUAGAGGAGCUAGCUCAUAUUUUUCUGUGUUUUUUGUUGACGCUUUGUUUGAUUCCAUACAUUCAGGUGAUGCUCUUUCAUUCCCUUCGUUUUCACAGUUUCACUGCCAAGAAUCAAAGAGCAAUUGAACUCUUCUCACUUCUCUUCUGCUUUGAAAAAAUGCUCUUGGGUAUGAGAAAGGCCCUCGCUCACUAGGUUUUGUGCCUCUACCGCAGAGCGGUCGUUUCGCCUUUCCGGUUUCAUGUAUGCUCCCACUGCCAUUUCUUGUUACCUGCCAUGCUUCUGAAAAAAAAAAUGAUCGUAAGACAACACCCUCAUGUGUUCACUCGCAGGUCGGAACAAAAGGGGGAAAUAGCGCCUGGACUUACUCAGCUUUGGUGUGCUGUGAUGGAAUAACUUGUCUAUGGGAGAUUUUACUGUGCCUGUGUUCCCUCCUUUCCUGCGCAUUCAUGCUUGCUUGCAUCCAAGCCUUCUCACACUUUCUCGGCGAACGUGACCCUUUCAUCUUGCACGAUUAUUUCAG
Molecule: unclassified non-coding RNA, 2303 nt
Filed under: Leishmania donovani
Lineage: Eukaryota; Euglenozoa; Kinetoplastea; Trypanosomatida; Trypanosomatidae
Description: gene:LdHU3.35.6280(CDS-product:Kinesin-13_6_putat ive)
Source: RNAcentral